This 71-nucleotide transfer RNA is filed under the name Camelus bactrianus (Bactrian camel). It matches the Rfam family "tRNA". Rfam says of the family: Transfer RNA (tRNA) molecules are approximately 80 nucleotides in length. The record is from Rfam by way of RNAcentral. Lineage: Eukaryota; Metazoa; Chordata; Mammalia; Artiodactyla; Camelidae. RNAcentral also lists the same sequence under 2 other names.
GAGUGUCUAGCUUAGUGGUAGAGUGCAUGCUUAGCAUGCACGAGGUCUGGGGUUCAAUCCCCAGCACCUCC